Molecule: transfer RNA, 73 nt
Filed under: archaeon BMS3Abin17
Lineage: Archaea
Also listed under: 2 other names
Description: tRNA-Gln
Rfam family: tRNA
About the family: Transfer RNA (tRNA) molecules are approximately 80 nucleotides in length.
Source: RNAcentral
AGCCCCUUAGUAUAGUGGUCAAGUAUAUUGCCCUUUGGAGGCAGUGACGCAGGUUCGAAUCCUGCAGGGGCUA